AUGUUAAAAAUUGAUCUUGCUAAAGCUUUUGAUAGACUUGAGUGGGACUUCAUUGUUCUUGCGCUUACUCGUAAAGGGCUGCAUGCUCAUUUCAUUAACUUAGUGCAUGCAUGCAUCUCUUCUCCCACUUUUUCUGUUCUUAUUAAUGGGCAGCCUUCUCGUAAAUUUAAAAGUUUUCGAGGGAUUCGACAAGGCUGUCCCAUGUCCCCUUACUUGUUUGUUAUUGCCAUUAAUGAACUUUCGAUUGCUCUUAAUGAGGCGCUUCAGGCUAACCAUUUGCAGGGUAUUUCUCUUGGUCCAAGUUGCCCUUUGGUUCAUUCACUUCUAUUUGCAGAUGACCUUUUGGUUUGUGGUCAGGCCACCCAUCAUGAAGCUCAAACUAUGGCAAAUCUUAUUCGGCAAUUUUGU
This 408-nucleotide ribosomal RNA is filed under the name Triticum aestivum (bread wheat). Its description in RNAcentral is "partial small subunit ribosomal RNA". Lineage: Eukaryota; Viridiplantae; Streptophyta; Magnoliopsida; Poales; Poaceae. The record is from RNAcentral.